GAUUAUUGAGGCAAAUUUCCGUAUAGCUGUAUACCCUACACCCCUUUCUUUUUAAGGGGUAUGGAAAAGUUGACUUGUUGGCUUCACCGACGCGGCUACACUUCACUUGUGUCUUUGGCUUUGAUUUUGGUACCGAGUAUUUAAUGAUAUUUCUCUCUUUUUAUUCAGCCCGGCAACCCAACAAUUACGCUUAAUGCCAAACAUCCUCUGCGUUCUGGCUGCUCCAUCCCAACCUUAACUCCAACUCCAACUCCAAGUCAAACUCCGACUUUAGCUCCAAGUUGUGAGCUCCCAAGUGCGGUGGCUGUGGUUUGAUCUUGUUACGCAUUCGAGGCUCGCUGUUUUUUUCAAACUCUUUCAGCAACGACUACUAGGUGGCCUUUAGAUUGUGCUCGGGAAUCUGGAUUCUGGCAUCUGGAUCUGCGAUCUGAGGUAGCGUUUGAUUGGCAUGUAGAGCAGAACAGCCUCGUCUAGCUUUCUGUCUUGCCAGAUAGUUGGCCAGCUGGAGAAAACCUAAGCUGCGCUGCACUUUCCAUCGAAAGUGUUGAAAAUCGUUGGGAUUGGUCCUUCUCUUAUUGAUUUACCCACUAACUAUCCCUCGGCGACCAAAAACAACUGUAUUCUAUAUCAAUCACCGAACUUUUCCAGCAACAGCGUUUCGAAAUUGCCCGCUUAUUAUUUAAAUAAUUUAAUAAAUUAUUGAACAGUCGCCCAGGGGCGAGUAAUGAAGUCGGGCUUCGGCUCUCGACUUAGACAGUUGUAAUAAAUAAGUUUUAUUUUUAUUUCACAGCUACUGCCGCUGGCGGACAAAGUCGCGAAUGGGACAGUGGGCGCGUUGUGCAAAUUGCUGAUAAAUUUGAGGAUAAGAGAAGGUUUUUCGGGUGGGCAAACUAUAUGAGUGAAUCUUUUGGAAGUAAGAAGUUUAUGUAGCAAAGCAUUGAGUUUACAUAAUUAAGUAAUUGUGGAGCUAAUAAAUUUUAAAUUUUUUUUUCGAUUUAUAAGAUUUUAUAAAUCACCUUAUUUUUUCUAUUUUUGUUUUUUAGACGUAAUAAUUUUUUUGGUUAAUAAAUUUUCUUUUUUAAGGUAAUGUAAUAUAACCAAUAUAAAGUGGGUUUUACAUUAUACUGAUUUUUACAAUUCUAACAUUCUGGAAUUGGUAUGAACCCAAUUUCUACUAAUUAUUACCCACUGUGCACAAUGGGGCCAUCACAGAUAUUACAUCUUAAGGUCAAAAUAUUAGCAAAUUUUAUGUGACCCGCUCACCGAACGAAGCCGCCAGGGAAACAACAAAAAAAAAAAAAAAAAAAGGGGAGAAGGCCAGCUAGCCAAUCCAAUCCAACGUGAGGAGCAGAGGGAUUUUGGGGGAACUUGGGGGAAGCUGCAGCAACUGAGGAGUUGGGGCUGUUAAUUUCGCUUCGGAGAGCGGUAGGCACAUAAUCAGUUUAUUUUGUUGCUUUGCUUUUCUUGGCAGCAGGAGCUGAAGUUGAAGCUGAAGCUGAAGCUCGCCAAGAAGAAGAAAAAGUGCCCCGGGUUACACGCCAAAGAUACAAUUUUAGAUUAUAUGGCCAACUGCGCGCAUGCGCAUAAUAAUAAUGCAUGCAACAAGACGACGACGACGACGAAGACUCAAAGACGAAGACGAUGGCGAUGGCGAUGGGCGACGACGAGUAGCCAAUUGCAGGCAGGGAAGGCCAAGAAGGCCAAGAGGGCCAGGAAGGCCAAGAAGGCCUUACUCGACAACAACAACAACAACAACUGAAGGAACCCAAAGUCGGGUCGUCUUUUUAGCUGGCUUCCUGUAGGGGGCACAAAAAAGGCGUGCAAGUGGGUAUAAUCAUCAUCAGCUUUGAUAACACACCACGAGCGCAGCGCAGCGACGUUGGCUGCAACGACCUGCCUGCCAGGGUCCAAAGUUUUGAAGACCCCAGCAACCCGGGCACCCUGGAACCCCUAGACCCCAAGCCCCCGAUCCCCAAACCCCGAAACCCCAAACUCCAGACCCGGCAUGAUCUGCUGCUUGGCAUUUGACUUUCGGGCCAACUUCUCUCCUCUUUUUUCGCUCUUUGGUUUUUGCUUUUGUUUUUUCACUGGGUGCUUCCAGUCAUGCGCCGACUUCAACGGCGAUUUGGAGUCUUGACUUUGGUCCCGAGGUCUCUGGGGUCUGGGGUUUGGGGUCUCGAUGGGGUCUCGAUGCUGCCUCACUUUGCUGCCUCCGAAGUUGCUGCCUGCCUGCCGACUGUCAGUUAAAUGGCAGCUCCGCUGCCGUGGCCACCUUAUAACCUCCGUCCGGUGCACAUUUCAUCUAACCUCUGCUCCAGUCCGAGCUGCACAGUGGGACAAACUGCAGCGAAAAAUGGGGGAGGAACUUACUAUUUAUUUUCUAGAAGUAUCCUGCAUUUGUAAUCGAUUAAUGUUUUUUAAUUGUGGCAAGUUACCAAAAUUAUUUUAAUUGAACUGUCACUUCGUAAUUAAAAGAAAAAAAAAUUAAUUUUUAAAAAUUAAGAUUAGAAAUAGUUGAAUAGUUUUACCUAUUAUUUAACUAUUCAACUAUUAUAUAUUAUAAAAAGUAUAAUAAAAAUUGUAUCAUUAUGAAUCAUUACUUGUUUCUUUUUUUGAGUGUUCUAUCGGAAUUUAUAUCAAAUAUCGAUCAAAGAAAAAAUUACUUGAGAAGUGGUAUUAUGGAACUAAAUUGUAUUGAUUGUCUCUACUAAGAUACUUGGGGUUAUAAAAGUUUGAGUGCUAAUCCAUAGAGGACAUAGUUGCCAUUUUACUUUACUUUGUUGAAAGUGCAUUAAUUUAAUAUAGCUUUAGAUACCCAGAAUGAAACUAUCUAUAACCUACUGUGCCACAUAGAGUUGAAAGGAGAAAGAUUGAGAGAGCCUUGCAGGUCUCGCCUCGAUUGCGAUCAUUUGCUUUCGUGCUGUGAUUUCUGGCCGCAAACCUCCGAAGGAACAGAACUUUUCCUUCAAUAUAGAUGAUUGUUUGGAUCCUGUUCGCUUCGGUUGGGUUUUCUUUUUCCUUUUUCCUUUAUUUUUUUCUAACUGCCACAGCAGGUCGGUUUUGCCGGCUCCGAAGGCCCAGCAGCAACAUCAUCAAGCAGACGACAUCAUUAUCGUGCAACAUUAUCGAAAAAGAAGGAGAAAAAAUGCCAAACGCGAGGCAAGAAAUUGCUUGUCUUUUGGCCAAUUUUUUUCCUUUCCUACCAACUUUUCGUAGGCGGCCGAAAAGUGGAAGCCGGCAGGAAAAAAAAAAGAAAAGAAAAAAAACGCCUGCGAACGGACCAAUAUAUUGAAAUAUGGCGGUAAGCGGGCAAUUUAAAUGUGGCCCCCGCAAUCGCUUCCACCCGCCGAUGCACGGAAUGUGGUUUUAAGUAAUUCAUGGAUUAAUGGUAGCAUAUUGGUCUUGUGGCAAAAAAAAAAAAAAAAAAAAUAAAGAGGGGGAGGAGGGUUGUCUCUUGAGUGAAUGGUCGUGUCUGAGGCCGAGACUAAAACUGCUGUCUGUCUGUCUGUUUUUUUUUUUUUUUUUUUUUUUUUGUAGGAGGCCUUGGCCGUGGUAAGAGUAGGAGUUGCAUGUUUAGCACGUGCCUUCGGUUCCUCUUGUUGCACACUCAAAACUUGCUGCUCGUGUGCGGUAGUUGCUGCCGUUAUUGUUGCUCGUUGCUGGUUGCUGGUUGCAACUUGCUGUUGCUUGUUGCCUGUUGCUGUUGCUAGUUGCUGUUGCUAGUUGUUGCUGUUGCAAGUUGCCGUUGCUGAUAAUGCGUUGACCGCCAACGCCGCAAACUAGAUUGUUACGUUUAUAAUCAUUAGGCGAGUCGGUGAUUUGUUUUCCUUUUCCUACCUUGUUUUUUUUUUUUUGCUUUUUAGCAGCUUUGGUUCUUUGGGCUAUGAAAGUUGUUGGUUGUUACCACAAAAGCACCGUUAAUAUGAGGUUGGUUUUGUAGGACAAAAGUGGAACUGCAGGCUACCUUUUCAAAUAAAGGGGUUGCUUAUACUAUAAAAACUGGAAGCCUAACAGAUGGGUUCCAAAUAGUUAAUCAUGCGAUUUUCAGCAACAGUGCAAAUAGAAAAAAAUAUGUGGAUAUACUAUAUAUUUAACUACAUACUUUAAAUUUGAAUUAAACAGAAAAAUGGAUUUUAUAUGCUUAAUAAAAAAAUAUUUAGUCAUAUUUGUAAAGCUGAUUUGGUUCACUUCAUAUAGUUUAUUUUAUUUUAAUCUAAAAACAAACAUUGCGUAAAUUUUAAUUUUCUACGAUUACAAACAAUCAAUCGCCAAGCCAUAAUUCAAGUUGAAUGAAAUCUAUUUAUUUUUACUGUCUGAUUGGAUCUCUAUAAAAUUAAUGAGCCCAUCAAAUAAAGUUCAAGUGUGUGUUACUCAACUCCUAAAAUUAAAACUCAAUCGAAUCCCCUUUUCAGUUGCGUCACAAUUUGGCCUCCUCAAUUGAAGUUAUCUUUCACAUUUCUGUCACUUGGCUAAACCGAAAAUUAAUUUUCAAUUUUUUUCUUCGGGUUUUUUUUGGCACAUAACGCCUCGUCAUACUUCCUGUAGAAAGAAGAAAAAACACCAACUCACCGCACACACCAGCAAACACUAAAAGCCAACGAGAAACCAACAAAUUGCAUUUUAAUGCAACUUUCCAAAUCAAUUUUCCAAAAACCAAACACCGAGCGCGGGGAAAAGGUGGAGGUGCAUUUCCCUUUUGAAAAUUCAAGGCAAGAGAGUAAGAAGAAGAAGAAGGCAAAAAAAGAUAUGGUCAGAGGGAUAUAGCGGGGAAUCGGGUCGGAGUUAGCCACACGAGUGCCAUUGGCCAAAAGGCCAAUAUAAAAAUAAAUAAAACUUAAGUCAGCCAUGUGACAGUUAUGGAUGAGAAGGCUGCACUCCAACGUGGCCAACUGGGCACCCAACUUCGAGCUCCAAACUACAAACUCCAAGAUCCAAGCUCCAAACUCCAAACUCGAAAUCCGGACUUGGAGUCCCGGCCAGAGAGCCAAAGUAACGAGUUGCCGGCGCGAUAAAAAAUCUAACUUUAAUACGAAUUAAGAUAAACAAAUAAUGAGAAAGGGAGCGGCAGGAAAAGUGGGAAAAAGGGGGGAGGGGAAAGGGGGAAAUGGGGAGGGAAGAGGGGGAAAAAGGGGUGGGGAAAGGGUAAGGAGCCCAUCUAAUCGAAUGCUUUUUAGCUGGCAAUGGAGACCUCCAUCCCCAAGCUCAAGUGACAAGUGCGAGUCUAGGCUUUUGACAUUUGCUGAAUAUGAAACUGCAACUCGAUGAUCUUCACAAUAAUGAUGAUAAUGAUGAAAAUAGCAGUGAUGAUCAUCAUGAUGAUGACUACGUGGAUUUGCAGUCGUUGUUUAUGUUUACUCGAACGAUGAAACCUUAUGCCUAAUAAUAGGGUCGACUUUGAAAUGCAUACGAAAAGCGGAGAGGUACUGGACUGGAGACACAGUUCGCCUCGCUGUUUUUUAUUUAUUUUUUUUUUUUUUUUUUUUAUUUUCCGUUUGUCGGGGGCGUUAGCCACGGUGCAAAAUGUAGAGCUGCGGAGUUGAUCUCCAUGUUGCCGAUGCUUGACAUUUAUGUGAACCCAGGCAACAAUAACACGUUGGUGUACCAGCGACAGAACGACACGAAACCAAGAAAAAACUUGAGGAAGGGAAGCCGAAUAAAUACCCUUGCAAAUAAACUAAAAUGUAUAAAAUAACCAUAUCAAAAUUAUAUAUUUUCCAUAAAGAUUUUUCAAUGAAUUGAAAUAAAUUUUUAAUAGACGAAAUAGCCAUCAGUCUUCAGCUUUAAAUCUGAUGGCAUAUAAUAAUAAUUAUUAUCUCCCAAUUUUUUUUUUAAUGAUGAAUAUCAUUUUUGCUAAUCAUUAUUGGAAAAAAUUGAAUAGUAUUUUAGAAAACAAUUGCUAAGCGCAUUUCUUUUUUGAGGGUAGUUUGGGUAUAAAAGUAAUAACUAUUCAUAAAGCUUAUGUUUUUAAAGCUCAUCAGGAAGAUAUAUUAUUAAGGAGAUCGGAGGACACUGAAGUUAAACUACCCUCUAACAAGGGUAUAGAAAACCAAGCCAAAAGCGAGCAAACCCGCGUUGGAGCCGGAGAUCCAAGAGAUCCCAGUUGAUCGUGGGCAAAGUCAACUCGCUCGAGUCAUGAAUCUUAUGACGCCUACGUGUACUUUUGGCAUUUGGCAUGUCAAAUACAAUAAGUACUGGGGGUUGGAUCCCCGGUGCCAGAGAUCAAAACUGCGAGUACAUUGGAACAUUGGGAACCCCAAGAUGGAGAAGGAGCUCCAAAUGCGAUGAUUCCUCGGGUUCAAAACUCUCAAGAGACUGCGUUGACUUCUUUUUGAGCCCGAACUUGUUUCUUAUUUCGACAAAAAGGGGAACAUUUCUGGUCUGUCAUUAACUGACAGAAACUAAUUCGCUCCAAAUAAGUUCAAGGCGGAAUGCUGAUGGAUUGACAAGGCGAAUGGGUUCGCAGAUGUUCUUCUCAGUUCUUGUCACAAUUUGCAAGUUCGUCAUCUUGAGUUUCUUGGGAAAUUAGAUGGAGAUGUGUCGGUAAUGGCUUGAUUGUGAACUUUGAUUAGUCGAAGGGGUUAAAGUUGUUCGCUCAUUAAAAGGCGGUUCUAUUGGGGGUCCAUAGACCUCAAUUAGAUCUGGUUAUCUUUGAAAUUGGUAAAUUUUCAUUAACUAGAUAAAUUGAUGGCACGCAACCUUUAAAGUUUUCAACACAAUAAAUUUUGCAAAUAAAUAAAAUACAAUUAAACAAACUUUGAAAGGAUUUGUUGCUUAUAAAUAUCUAGAUAUCAGAGAUUAAUGGAUUGGCAAUUGAAUUUUGGUUUAAUAGUAGCGAUAAAAAUGAAUAAUAAUUAGAUACAUUUUUGGCCAAAUUGAUCGUUAGAACAAUAACAGUAAAUCAUUUAAAAUGACAAUGCUACUUUUGGAAAUAUUUAAUCUUAUCCAAAAAUUGUGAAUUAAAUAUUCUAAAUGUUUUGGAAACUAUAAAUAUUUUAACAAAGUAUUUUUUUUGUUCAAGUAAUUUAACUUUUUAAAGUCUAGAUUAGUUUAAAAUUUUCUGGUUUAUAAUAGAUUUAACACAAGUUUUCCUUUUCUGUAUAUAUAAUAGCAUUUUGAUUUAUCCUAUGGCCUUUCAAUUACAAUCCCAAGACAUCCCAUCUCCAUCGGAAGAUCUUGCCAUCGUCUAUUGCUCAAAUUUCCAGCCUCCUCGAACUUAUCCCCGCAUUCCAGAGGGAUCCAACCCACCUGCUACCUCGAGUGCACUUAAUCAGCGAAUAAUUCAUGAUAAACCAAAAGGAAGCGGAGUAGAAAGGUAGAAAAGUAGAAAAGGGGAGUGGCUCCCUCCGUAGCUCGUGUCGCUGAUCACGCAUAGAAAUUAUUAUUGUGCUUUAAUAUAGCCAUAAAUCUGAACAUUUAAAAUGCAGAAAAUAUCGCAUCCUGCUGCGUUUCGGCCAAAACCUGAAAUGCACCGAACGACUUGGAAAUUGGGUAUGGAAUGGGUUAAAAUGGGAUGGGUUAGGAUGGAAUGGAAUGAGUCUGGGUCCCCAACUUAUGACUUCAUCUGCAUUUUUAUGGCGAAUGCCCUGGCGAUAAUAAACCCUGGCACAGGGAUCCGAGCCACCCAUGCGUGCUUCUACCAAAGAGAAAAAAAAAUAGAAAAAAAAAUAAAAAUAAGAAAAGGGGGAGUCGCACUGUGGCAAUAUCAAUAACACUUGCAACUCUGUCCGUCGCCAUGCGACUGCAACAUGAUGCGACAACGUUGUUGUCGUCGUCGUCUUCGUUGUUGCUUUUGUUGUUUUUGUUGUCGUUGUCGUUGGACAAUGUCACUGAACCAGUUCUCAAUGUCUUCAUAUAGAUUUCCACGGCCUGCGAGAGUCAACCUCUGCACUAAAUAUUUACAACCUCCACAAUAUCUCAACGACCGACAACGACGACAAAAAAAAAAUAAAAGACUGAAGCGCAGGGGAAAAAAUAAAAAAAAAAAAAAAAAAACUAAAGCGAGGCUGGUCUUUUCUAUCGGCUGGCCUGGCGGAACAAGUUCAUGCAACUGCAGCAGCCGCAGCUCCACAAAAGGUGUUCAGGCGACCAAGACCAAGAGCCCAAGAGCAACCAGCAACCAGCAACCGGCAACCGAGAUUCAACAACCAACAACAACCAACAACAACAACCAACAACGAUCAACGACCAGCGACCAGUGUCGUUGUGGCCAUAAAUUCAAUUGAAUAUUACGCCAAUUGCCUUUUUGUCUAUCGCGAACCUCGGGGAGGAGUCAACAUGUCGGCCUCCAAACUGGUUCCAUCAUCAUCAGUUCGGUAGAUAUGUCCGCUUUACUUUUUUUUAUUUUCUACUUUAAGCAGAUUUAGUUCAUCUUUGAAUGCUGGGUAAGCCGCUUUCGGCGCGCUAAUUAGACGACUUUCAAGGCACCCAUCUGAAAUCGGCGGGCUAAUAUGCAUCAAAAUGUGUCAACACCUAGAGAGUUCGGGUCCUGAAAGACCGUCCGGCUUAAUUGUUAGCUCCUCUACGCGAUUGAAAGCCCGAAGUUACACAUAAAAAAAAUAAAUUAUUUAUAAACUAAUAAAGUAGUACGACCUAUUAACUGUUAAAGUUUACCACAAGAAAGUAUAAUUGAAACUUAUCCAAAUCAUAAAUAGAACAAUUUGAUUGGUAGUCAAAUAAUAAUGAAUUCUCUCGUUAAUUAACAAAAAAUAUUAAUUAAACUAGAGAAAAGAAAGUGUCUAAUGGAGAGUUAAUAAAAACCUUUUAAAAAUGUUAUCCUGAACUUGGCUUACGCGACAGUACCAGUUGAGAAUUAUAAACGCACAAGGGAUAGAAAUAGAAUAAUAUAGAAUAAUAACCCAAACCUAUCAUAAAUUUCUUUUUAAUGUGGUAAACUACAAAACAGCCUAACAUGUGAGCAAUUUCAUUUUUAGGAAACAUAUCGACUUUCUAGAUAUAUUUGUCAAUUUGAUUCAUUGAUCAAUUUUUCUUUGUGCAGUCCAUGUUUUCACUCCAUUAACGCGUUGUGAAGCUAGAGGAGGAGGAGGGAGGAGGAGGCUGGGGCUGAGGCUGAGUUACCGAGUGCAGAUCCUGAACUGGGACUGGUAAUGAUGCCUGACGUUGACCGAUCGUCGACCGCAAAAGCCAGCCAGCUAGCUAGUCAAAGCCAAAAGCCAGGGGAAAAUGGCAGGGAGAAAAGCGAGAUCCAGAGCAAAAUACAACCCGGCCUGACCGACCGAUCAAAAGUCGUUCAACUUGCCGGAACUGGUCGUAAAGAUCACCUGGCCACCAUUCCGAGCCAAGUCGAGCUGAAUCGCCUAUGUGGAGCAUUUUCCUCUCGAACUUGGCCAAACGCAACUCGUAAAUGGGGAUCUGGACUCCGAGUUAAGGCCGCAGCUCGAGUGGCACAAUAUUAAUGGCCGUCAGAGAGUUCAGGCCGUCCGCAGAAACCCAUAACAAGAGUGGAGAAUCAGCAGAAAUAAACGAUCUGCCAAUGGGUAAAUGAACUUUGACUCCUGCGAUGAGGUUAAGGAAUGCCACUUCGAUCACAAAAGGUCUCCAAGGUUCAGUAGUUGAAUGGCAGCCAGGGUUAGCAAUUUUAUAUACCUUCGAAUCGAUUUGAUUGGAACCACUUUUUAUAUAAAGUAUUCAUCACAGUACAUGAAUUUACUUCUGCAGGAUUAAUUUAACCAAAUAAAUAUAUUUCAUUAA
Molecule: long non-coding RNA, 9708 nt
Organism: Drosophila ficusphila
Lineage: Eukaryota; Metazoa; Arthropoda; Insecta; Diptera; Drosophilidae
Exons: 2
Source: RefSeq, a predicted model, not a curated record